RNAcentral lists this ribosomal RNA (767 nucleotides) under uncultured Granulicatella sp. RNAcentral's name for it is "bacterial SSU rRNA". It matches the Rfam family "Bacterial small subunit ribosomal RNA", at positions 28 to 776 of the family's 1533-position model. Lineage: Bacteria; Bacillati; Bacillota; Bacilli; Lactobacillales; Carnobacteriaceae. The record is from RNAcentral.
GACGAACGCUGGCGGCGUGCCUAAUACAUGCAAGUCGAACGAGAGCGACCGGUGCUUGCACUGGUCAAUCUAGUGGCGAACGGGUGAGUAACACGUGGGUAACCUGCCCAUCAGAGGGGGAUAACAUCCGGAAACGGAUGCUAAAACCGCAUAGGUCUUCGAGCCGCAUGGCUUGAAGAGGAAAAGAGGCGCAAGCUUCUGCUGAUGGAUGGACCCGCGGUGCAUUAGCUAGUUGGUGAGGUAACGGCUCACCAAGGCCGUGAUGCAUAGCCGACCUGAGAGGGUGAUCGGCCACAUUGGGACUGAGACACGGCCCAAACUCCUACGGGAGGCAGCAGUAGGGAAUCUUCCGCAAUGGACGCAAGUCUGACGGAGCAACGCCGCGUGAGUGAAGAAGGUUUUCGGAUUGUAAAACUCUGUUGUUAGUGAAGAACAAGUGCUAGAGUAACUGUUAGCGCCUUGACGGUAUCUAACCAGAAAGCCACGGCUAACUACGUGCCAGCAGCCGCGGUAAUACGUAGGUGGCAAGCGUUGUCCGGAUUUAUUGGGCGUAAAGCGAGCGCAGGCGGUUCCUUAAGUCUGAUGUGAAAGCCCCCGGCUCAACCGGGGAGGGUCAUUGGAAACUGGGGAACUUGAGUGCAGAAGAGGAGAGUGGAAUUCCAUGUGUAGCGGUGAAAUGCGUAGAUAUAUGGAGGAACACCAGUGGCGAAGGCGACUCUCUGGUCUGUAACUGACGCUGAGGCUCGAAAGCGUGGGUAGCAAACAGG